AUCUAUACUGUGAAACUGCGAAUGGCUCAUUAAAUCAGUUAUCGUUUAUUUGAUAGUACCUUACUACUUGGAUAACCGUGGUAAUUCUAGAGCUAAUACAUGCUAAAAACCCCGACUUUUGGAGGGGUGUAUUUAUUAGAUAAAAAACCAAUGCCCUUCGGGGCUCCUUGGUGAUUCAUAAUAACUUAACGAAUCGCAUGGCCUUGUGCCGGCGAUGGUUCAUUCAAAUUUCUGCCCUAUCAACUUUCGAUGGUUAGGUCUUGGCUAACCAUGGUUUCAACGGGUAACGGGGAAUUAGGGUUCUAUUCCGGAGAGUGAGCCUGAGAAACGGCUAACACAUCCAAGGAAGGCAGCAGGCGCGCAAAUUACCCAAUCCCGAUACGGGGAGGUAGUGACAAUAAAUACUGAUCCAGGGCUCUUUUGGGUCUUGGAAUUGGAAUGAGUACAAUUUAAAUCCCUUAACGAGGAACAAUUGGAGGGCAAGUCUGGUGCCAGCAGCCGCGGUAAUUCCAGCUCCAAUAGCGUAUAUUAAAGUUGUUGCAGUUAAAAAGCUCGUAGUUGAACCUUGGGUCUGGUUGGCUGGUCCGCCUCACCGCGUGUACUGGUCCGACCGGAUCUUUCCUUCUGGGGAGCCGCAUGCCCUUCACUGGGUGUGUCGGGGAACCAGGACUUUUACUUUGAAAAAAUUAGAGUGUUCAAAGCAGGCCUAUGCUCGAAUACAUUAGCAUGGAAUAAUAGAAUAGGACGUGUGGUUCUAUUUUGUUGGUUUCUAGGACCGCCGUAAUGAUUAAUAGGGGAUAGUCGGGGGGCAUCAGUAUUCAAUUGUCAGAGGUGAAAUUCUUGGAUUUAUUGAAGACUAACUACUGCGAAAGCAUUUGCCAAGGAUGUUUUCAUUAAUCAGUGAACGAAAGUUAGGGGAUCGAAGACGAUCAGAUACCGUCGUAGUCUUAACCAUAAACUAUGCCGACUAGGGAUCGGGCGAUGUUACUUUUUUGACUCGCUCGGCACCUUACGAGAAAUCAAAGUC
This 1027-nucleotide ribosomal RNA is filed under the name Calloria urticae. RNAcentral's name for it is "SSU rRNA". It matches the Rfam family "Eukaryotic small subunit ribosomal RNA", at positions 72 to 1105 of the family's 1831-position model. Lineage: Eukaryota; Fungi; Ascomycota; Leotiomycetes; Helotiales; Calloriaceae. The record is from RNAcentral.